Triticum aestivum (bread wheat) is the source of this 136-nucleotide non-coding RNA. Lineage: Eukaryota; Viridiplantae; Streptophyta; Magnoliopsida; Poales; Poaceae. The record is from Rfam.
AUUCUACUCCCUCCGUUGCACAAUACAUGCCUUCUAUUUGUCAAAAUAUAUAUGUAUCUAGACAUGCUUUAGUAUAUAGGUACAUCCAUUUUUGGACAAAUGGAAGUCAAGUAUUUUGGAACGGAGGGAGUACACA